RNAcentral lists this ribosomal RNA (1509 nucleotides) under Bacillus sp. I2. Its description in RNAcentral is "bacterial SSU rRNA". It matches the Rfam family "Bacterial small subunit ribosomal RNA". Lineage: Bacteria; Bacillati; Bacillota; Bacilli; Caryophanales; Bacillaceae. The record is from RNAcentral.
AGAGUUUGAUCAUGGCUCACGACGAACGCUGGCGGCGUGCCUAAUACAUGCGAGUCGAGCGAACAGAAGGGAGCUUGCUCCCGGAUGUUAGCGGCGGACGGGUGAGUAACACGUGGGUAACCUGCCUGUAAGACUGGGAUAACUCCGGGAAACCGGAGCUAAUACCGGAUAGUUCCUUGAACCGCAUGGUUCAAGGAUGAAAGACGGUUUCGGCUGUCACUUACAGAUGGACCCGCGGCGCAUUAGCUAGUUGGUGGGGUAAUGGCUCACCAAGGCGACGAUGCGUAGCCGACCUGAGAGGGUGAUCGGCCACACUGGGACUGAGACACGGCCCAGACUCCUACGGGAGGCAGCAGUAGGGAAUCUUCCGCAAUGGACGAAAGUCUGACGGAGCAACGCCGCGUGAGUGAUGAAGGUUUUCGGAUCGUAAAGCUCUGUUGUUAGGGAAGAACAAGUGCGAGAGUAACUGCUCGCACCUUGACGGUACCUAACCAGAAAGCCACGGCUAACUACGUGCCAGCAGCCGCGGUAAUACGUAGGUGGCAAGCGUUGUCCGGAAUUAUUGGGCGUAAAGGGCUCGCAGGCGGUUUCUUAAGUCUGAUGUGAAAGCCCCCGGCUCAACCGGGGAGGGUCAUUGGAAACUGGGAAACUUGAGUGCAGAAGAGGAGAGUGGAAUUCCACGUGUAGCGGUGAAAUGCGUAGAGAUGUGGAGGAACACCAGUGGCGAAGGCGACUCUCUGGUCUGUAACUGACGCUGAGGAGCGAAAGCGUGGGGAGCGAACAGGAUUAGAUACCCUGGUAGUCCACGCCGUAAACGAUGAGUGCUAAGUGUUAGGGGGUUUCCGCCCCUUAGUGCUGCAGCUAACGCAUUAAGCACUCCGCCUGGGGAGUACGGUCGCAAGACUGAAACUCAAAGGAAUUGACGGGGGCCCGCACAAGCGGUGGAGCAUGUGGUUUAAUUCGAAGCAACGCGAAGAACCUUACCAGGUCUUGACAUCCUCUGACAACCCUAGAGAUAGGGCUUUCCCUUCGGGGACAGAGUGACAGGUGGUGCAUGGUUGUCGUCAGCUCGUGUCGUGAGAUGUUGGGUUAAGUCCCGCACGAGCGCAACCCUUGAUCUUAGUUGCCAGCAUUCAGUUGGGCACUCUAAGGUGACUGCCGGUGACAAACCGGAGGAAGGUGGGGAUGACGUCAAAUCAUCAUGCCCCUUAUGACCUGGGCUACACACGUGCUACAAUGGACAGAACAAAGGGCUGCAAGACCGCAAGGUUUAGCCAAUCCCAUAAAUCUGUUCUCAGUUCGGAUCGCAGUCUGCAACUCGACUGCGUGAAGCUGGAAUCGCUAGUAAUCGCGGAUCAGCAUGCCGCGGUGAAUACGUUCCCGGGCCUUGUACACACCGCCCGUCACACCACGAGAGUUUGCAACACCCGAAGUCGGUGAGGUAACCUUUAUGGAGCCAGCCGCCGAAGGUGGGGCAGAUGAUUGGGGUGAAAUCGUAACAAGGUAUCC